GAUCCUGGCUCAGGGUGAACGCUAGCGGUGCGCCUAACACAUGCAAGUCGAGCGAGAAGUUCUAGCUUGCUAGAAGAUAGAAAGCGGCGAACGGGUGAGUAACACGUUGGUAUCUGCCCAAGUCAGGGAUAGCCAGAGGAAACUCUGAUUAAUACCGGAUAAUCUCUUUCGAGAGAAGAUUUAUUGCUUGGGGAGGAACCUGCGGUCUAUCAGCUAGUUGGUGAGAUAAUAGCACCAAGGCAAUGACGGAUAUCUGGUCUGAGAGGAUGACCAGACACAAUGGAACUGAGACGGUCCAUACUCCUACGGGAGGCAGCAGUGAGGAAUCUUCCACAAUGGACGAAAGUCUUGGAGCGACACCGCGUGAAGGAUGACGGCCUAACGGUUGUAAACUUCUUUUCUGAAGGCAUAAUGAGAGUACUUCAGGAAUAAGAGACGGCUAAUUACGUGCCAGCAGCCGCGGUAACGUAAGUCUCGAGUGUUACCCGGAAUCAUUGGGUGUAAAGGGUUCGUAGGCGGGUUAAAGUUGGAAAUGAAAGACCGAGGCUCAACCUCGUGUAUGUCUCCAAAACUGUUAACCUAAUUAGGGAGAGGUAAGCGGAAUUCUAAGUGUAGGGGUGCAAUCCGUAGAUACUUAGAAACACCAAAAGCGAAGGCAGCUUACUGGAACUAUAUUGACGCUGAGGAACGAAAGCGUGUAGCGAAAAGGAUUAGAUACCCUUGUAGUCCACGCCCUAAACGAUGAUAACUAAGUGGGGACUAGAUCCCAGUGCUGAAGCUAACGCGCUAAGUUAUCCACCUGAGGAGUACGGUCAAGAUUAAAACUCAAAGGAAUAGACGGGGACCCACACAAGCAGUGGAUCACGUGGUUAUUCGAUAAUAAACGGGGAACCUUACCCAGACUUGACAUCCUAGGAAUCUUUGAGAGAAGAGAGUGCUUUUAUUAGAGCCUAGUGACAGGUGCUGCAUGGUUGUCGUCAGCUCGUAUUGAGGUGUUCGGUUAAGUCCGUUAACGAGCGCAACCCAUGUUCUUAGUUAUAAUGUCAGAAGACUGCCUUGGUUAACAAGGAGGAAGAUGUGGAUGACGUCAAAUCAGCAUGGCUUACGUCUGGGGCUACACACAUGAUACAAUGGUGCAUACAAAGGGCAGCAAUACAGUGAUUGAGCGAAUCCUAAAAGUGCAUCUUAGUCCGGAUUGGAGUCUGAAAUUCGACUCCAUAGUUGGAAUUGCUAGUAAUCGUGAAUCAGAUAUGUCACGGUGAAUAUGUUCCUGGGUCGUACUCACCGCCCGUCAUGGCAUGGGAGGCAGUAAUAUUGGAA
RNAcentral lists this ribosomal RNA (1320 nucleotides) under uncultured bacterium. RNAcentral describes it as "bacterial SSU rRNA". It matches the Rfam family "Bacterial small subunit ribosomal RNA". The record is from RNAcentral.